This 466-nucleotide ribosomal RNA is filed under the name uncultured Polaribacter sp. Its description in RNAcentral is "bacterial SSU rRNA". It matches the Rfam family "Bacterial small subunit ribosomal RNA", at positions 33 to 496 of the family's 1533-position model. The record is from RNAcentral. Lineage: Bacteria; Pseudomonadati; Bacteroidota; Flavobacteriia; Flavobacteriales; Flavobacteriaceae.
ACGCUAGCGGCAGGCUUAACACAUGCAAGUCGAGGGGUAACAUUGUGCUUGCACAGAUGACGACCGGCGCACGGGUGCGUAACGCGUAUAGAACCUACCUUUUACAGAGGAAUAGCCUUUAGAAAUGAAGAUUAAUGCCUCAUAGUAUUGUAGACUGGCAUCAGUUUAUAAUUAAAGAUUUAUCGGUAAAAGAUGGCUAUGCGUCCUAUUAGUUAGUUGGUAAGGUAACGGCUUACCAAGACAGCGAUAGGUAGGGGUCCUGAGAGGGAGAUCCCCCACACUGGUACUGAGACACGGACCAGACUCCUACGGGAGGCAGCAGUGAGGAAUAUUGGACAAUGGAGGAGACUCUGAUCCAGCCAUGCCGCGUGUAGGAAGAAUGCCCUAUGGGUUGUAAACUACUUUUAUACAGGAAGAAACACUGGUAUGUAUACCAGCUUGACGGUACUGUAAGAAUAAGGACCGG